GGGGACCUGGCGCCUCGCGCGGGCGGCUGCUUCGGCCCCCUCCCCACCUCCUGUUCUGCUUCCAGCUGCUCCCUCACAGAGGUCGUGGCCUCAGACAGCAGAGGGACAGGCUUUGUCUCUCCGGCUGUUACGUGCAGCCCCAGCAGGUCUUGUGCAAGUGCAGCCACACCGAAUCCGCUGCCUCCUGAAGCUACCAGUAGUGUCAUAAAGCAGCAAGCAAUGCCUGACUGUUGUCUUCUGGAUCUCAGCAGCCCUGCCUGGUCAGCAGAACCAUGAUUUCAAAAAACGAUCAGCGUGAGAUCUCUUCUUCCUGGUUUGACUUCACACUGAGCUGCAGACAUACACAGAGAACAACAUGGAUAUAAGGUAUUAAUGUUUUUCCAUUUACCAAACACUUUAAGCCUACCUCUCCAAAGUGCUGCUAUCACUGCCUUUUUUUUUUUAAGGCCAUAUGACUGUUUGCAAGUAAAAAUAAAAUAAUUUGUAUGCAUAAUGUAAAAUUUCUA
This 506-nucleotide long non-coding RNA is filed under the name Chrysolophus pictus (golden pheasant). Its description in RNAcentral is "lncRNA (ENSCPIG00010004423.1)". Lineage: Eukaryota; Metazoa; Chordata; Aves; Galliformes; Phasianidae. The record is from RNAcentral.